RNAcentral lists this long non-coding RNA (32161 nucleotides) under Capsicum annuum. RNAcentral's name for it is "long non-coding RNA (CANN_LNC003548)". The record is from RNAcentral. Lineage: Eukaryota; Viridiplantae; Streptophyta; Magnoliopsida; Solanales; Solanaceae.
AAUCCACUUCACAGCUUUCCAAUGUUCUCUUUCCGGAUUAGAAAGAAAAUGAUUUACAACACCAACAGCAUGAGCAAUGUCUGGUCUUGUGCAAACUAUUGCAUACAUCAAACUGCCAACAGCUGAAGCACAAGGAACUUUCUCCAUAUCUUCCUUCUCAUCAUCACUGGAAAGACACUGCUUCGUGCUCAACUUGAAGUGCAUAGCUAAAGGUAUACUGACAACCUUAGCCUUGUCCAUGUUAAACCUUCGAAGUACUUUCUGAAUGUACUUCUCUUGUGAUAACCACAACUUCUUGGCCUUUCCAAUCUGCAUGCCAAGAAUCUGCUUUGUUGUCCUAAGUCUUUCAUAGAAAAAGAGUUACUCAACUCUUGCUUCAACUUUUGAAUCCUGCAAGUAUUAUGACCAACAACAAGCAUGUCAUCAACAUAAAGCAACACAAUAAUAAAGUCACCAUCAGAGAAUUUUUGCACAAAAACAAUGGUCUGAAGUAGUCUUCUUGAAGCCCUGCUGACUCAUAAAGCAACCAAACUUCCUGUACCACUGCCUAGGAGCUUGUUUCAAACCAUACAAGCUCUUCUUCAAUUUGCAAACAUAAUUCUUUUUUCCUUGACUUCAAAACCUUCGAGUUUCUCCAUAUAAAUUUCUUCAUCUAAGUCACCAUGGAGAAAAGCAGUUUUAACAUCCAUUUGUUCAACCUCUAAAUCUAGACUUGCAGCUAAGCCUAGAACCACACGAAUAGAUGACAUCUUUACAACAGAAGAAAAUAUCUCAUCAAAAUUAACUCUCUUUUUCUGGUUAAAUCCCUUCACAAUCAAUAUAGCUUUGUACCGUGGAAUUGGAUUACCAUCCCCAUGCUUCACCCAAAAAACCCACUUAUUUUUCAAAGUUUUUUUGUCUUUAGGCAGCUUAACCAAAUCAAAGGUAUGAUUAUCUUGCAAAGAUUUAAUUUCAUCUUUCAUAGCAUCAAACCACUUUUCUUUUUCUUCACUUUCUAUGGCCUCAUCAAGACUCUCGGGUUCUCCCCCGUCAGUCAAGAGUACAUACUCACUGGGAGAAUAAUGAGAAGCAGGUAUUAUCUCUCACUACAUACUCACUGGGAGAAUAACGAGAUGAAGGUAUUCUCUCUCUUGUAGAUCGUCUGAGAGAACUCUCUGGAGCAUCAACAACUGGUUGUUGAUCAACCAUAUCAACUUGCACUGGAGUAUCAACAACUUCUUGCUGGUCAUUCUGAACAUUAUCAUCAUCUUCAUUAUCAACUUGAUUUUUAUCAUCAUGAAGAUUUUCUUCAGAAGCAGUAGUCAAAUGAACUGGAUCAACAUCAACUAGGCUCUCGCUACUUUGAGAAUCAACCUUCUCAGCUUUGUCAAAAUCUUCAAUUGUUUGGUCUUCAAAGAACACAACAUCGCGGCUUCUAAUAAGUUUCUUCCCAACUGGAUCAUAGAAGCGAUAGCCAAAUUCAUCUUGACCAUAACCAAUGAAGAUAGAUUGUCUAGUUUUAACAUCCAACUUUAACCUUUCAUCCUUAGGAACAUAAACAAAAGAUUUACACCCAAAGACUCUAAGAUGAUCAUAAAAAACUUUCUUACCAGACCAAAUUCUGUCAGGGACAUCACCAUUCAAAGAAACAGUAGAAGAUAAAUUAAUAACAUAAACAGCCGUAUUAAGUGCUUCGGCCCAAAAGAAAUCUGGCAGCUUAGCAUCUGAAAUCAUACAUCUAACCCUCUCAACUAGUGUUCUGUCCAUCCUCUCUGCUAAGCCAUUCAACUGAGGAGUCUUUGGAGGAGUUUUUUGAUGCCGAAAACCUUCUUCUCUGCAAUAUCUAUCAAAAGAACCAAUAUACUCACCACCAUUAUCUGAACGGAUGCAUUUCAAUUUCUUUCCUGUCUGUCUUUCAACCAAGGCCUGAAAAUUCUUGAACACAUCAAUUACUUGAUCCUUGGACUUCAAAGAAAAUACCCAGAGUUUGCAAGAAUGAUCAUCAAUAAAAGUCACAAAGUAAAGUGCAACACCAUGAGACCUUACUUUAAAAGGACCGCACAAAUCAGAAUGCACCAACUCCAGCAAAUUGAGUUUUCUUGAAGGCGGAUGACUCUGAAAAGAAACUCUUUUCUGUUUACCGGCUAAGCAAUGAACACACUUCUUAAACUUUGCUUUUUUUACUCCAGGAAGCAAAUUUUUUUUAGCCAAACUAUCAAUCCCCUUCUCACUCAUGUGACUCAACCUUCUAUGCCACAACUCUGAUAAAGUAUCAUUCUCCACCAAGUUUAUCAAGAUUCUAGAAGUAGAGCCUUGAAAUACGUACAAGUUAGACAACUUGUCACCUCAAGCCACAAUCAUCGAACCUCUAGUAAGCUUCCACUGGCCAGCACCAAGGGUAUUAACAUAACCCUCAUCAUCAAGACUUCCAACAGAAAUCAAAUUCAGGCGAACAUCUGGAGCAUGCUUGACAUUAUUGAGAACUAGUUUGAAAUCAUUGUUACUUUCCAAACAAAUUGUGCCAAUGCCAAGUACUUUAACUUCAUCAUUAUUGCCCAUUUUCAACAUCCCAAAAUUACCUGGAGUUUAAGAAGAAAAUAAUUCCUUCUUUGGCAUAACAUGAGAAGUAGCACCAGAAUCCACAAACCAACUAGACUCAUCGCGAACAAGAUAAAUGACAUUCUCACCACAAGCAAUAAGAAGAUCAUCAUUAGUAACAACAACAACACAAUUUUCAUUAUCGUCUUCUUUCUUUUGCCGUCUUAUAUCUCUCUUAUGCUUGUAAUAAUAUUUCAUGAUAUGCUCCUUUUUGUUGCAAUAGUCACAUGUAACAUUCUUGAAUUUGGACCUUGACUUGCUUUUACUUUUAUCUCUAUCAUUUGAAUCUUUGAACUUCUUUUUCCCCCUCUCUUCAGUAACCAAAACAUCAGAGUGUGAAGAUGAAGAAGAUGAGGCCUGAGAUCUUCUUCUCAUCUCUUCAUUCAAGACACUACUCUUAACAUAUUCCAUAGUUACCAUACCAUCGGGAGCAGAAUUAAUCAAAGAAACUCGAAGAGUUUUUCAAGAGUCAAGCAGAAUAUUAAGAAGCCAAAGUCCCUGAAUUUCUUCAUCGAACUUUACACCUAUUUCGGACAGCUGGUCAAAGACACCCUGAAAAUCAUUUAUAUGAUCAGAAAUAAGACUGCCCUCUUUAUACCUGAUAUUCAUCAAUUUCUUAAGCAGGAACAACUUGUUAUUGCCAGUCUUCGAAGCAUAAAGUGUCUCGAGCUUGUCCCAUAAACUUCUAGCAUGUGCUCAUUCACAAUAUGAUUUCUAACAUUAUCUUUAACCCAUUGUCUGAUAUAGCCACAACCUGUAAGUGCUCAAAUUCUCAAUUCUCAUCUGUCAUGGAUGCAGGUUUAGUAGAUGCAAACAUAGGUAGAUGUAUUUUCUUGACAAAUAGAAGAUUUUUCAUCUUGCCUUUCCAAGUAUGAUAGUUACUACCAUUCAAACACACCAUCUUGCUCAUAUUUUCAUCCAUCAUUCAAAUCGACAAUCAACAACAACCUGAUACCACUUGUUAGGAAAGACGGGCACAAAGUCAAAGAGCUCGACAGGGUAGCAGCGGAAAAUACCCAAAACUAAACUUUUUUCUUUCAACUCGAACCAAGAGGAGACACAUAAACCCAAGAAAAAUAGAGUAAUAUACAACAAACAACUCAACCAAAUAAAACAAGAUAAGAAUAAAGACAAUCACAUGAGACACAAGAUUUACGUGGAAAAUCCUUCAGUGUGCAGAGUAAAAAACCACAGAACCAAAACCUCCACUAAAUCACCAAAGAGUUACAAUAUUAUCAUCCAAAAUGUCCACCCAAAAAGUUCCAAACAACAAGAAACAAUACAUAAUCCACAGCACCAAACACUAGAGAAAUAAAUAAGUGAAAGCACAAAAAAUGUAGCUACUGUUUGGGAAUAAAGAACAGGAGAUACAGGCCACCAAAUCAAGCUCCAUCAAUUCCUAAUCAAAGAUUAUGAUGAGAGGAACAAGCAGUCCAAAAAUCAUCUCAAUCAGACAAGAAACGAAGUGAGAAUUCCAAUUUGAAGUUGACAGCUGUGGCUGAAAUUUAGGUGCGAAAAUCAACUUUGUUUUUCUCUCCUUGGCUGCUGAAAACUCUCUUUUUGUGAUGGUGAAUAAUACCUAAAAAGAUCAAUAUAUAUGCCCCAUAGUAAUGGACCUAUGGGUAAAAAUGAGUUGGUCCAAAUUGAGCUUCAUUUAUCCACAUAGAAAGAGAAAAAGACUCAAUAACCCAACAAUAUCUAGUUUCGUUUAGGUCAUGUUAUCAAUGGGUCAAUUACCUAAGUGAUAGAAUAACAAGCUAAAGUUUAAGUUAAUAUAGAACAAAGUAUCAAAAGUAAAGGUUCGUGCAAAGAGAUGGCUCAUGACCAAUCAAAGAGCUCAAUUUCUUAAUGCUCAAAGGGGCGUUUGGUAGAGUGUAUAAGAAUAGUAUAAAAUAUAUUAGUAUUGUUGGUAUUAGAUAAGUUGAGAUUUUUCAUGUGCGGUGUUUGAUUUGGUGUAUUAAAACCAACAUGCAUGCAUUAUAUGUAUUAAUUAUACACACAUUAAUACCAAGUAGAGUGUAUAACUAAUGAGAUAUGCAUGGAUUGAAAAAGUUCGUGAAAGGAGGUGCUAGUAAUAUACAAAGUUAAUGCAUGCAUUAUUUUUUAUAAUGCACUCUAUCAAACGAUCCCUAAUAGUAUUGUUGCUAAUGAAAUAAUGACAUGUGUCUUUCCGUUAUAGGUAUCACGUCGUAUUUACAGCCUAAGUUGGGCACGCUACACAUCCGCACAUAUGAUAGUCCUGAUAUUUUUGUCCCCUUACCCUUAUCCCCUACUCCAGGUGUGGGGAUGUCGUUUCGUGAGACUCUCUUCAAGUGUGAACAACUGCUAGGUUUUCUCAUGACUUAAAAAUGUCACAUUGCACUCCAAAAAUAUCCUAUCUCGAGAGGUUCUGUCUCUUCGUCUCCUUCUUUCAUUUUAAUUUAAUGUCAAUUUUUUAUUUUCUUAAGAGCCGAUUAAUUAAUCUAUUAACUCAACUAAUUCAAAUACAAAAUUUAGAAGAGAUUCAAUCAUUUUAAAAAUUAAUUAUACAUAUAUUCUCCUUGUCUUAAGGCCAUCUCCACCCCCCUCUGGUUUUUGUCUAUACUUCAUAUUUGUAGAAAAAAAAUAAAGAUGGAUAAUUCCAACUCAUCUCUAUUUUUGUCUGAGUAAAUUUCCUAAAUAGUCACCCAUGUUAGAAAAUUUACCUUAUAAUAUCAUUUUUGUUUCUUUUUGGACCAUAAUAUCACCCAAUUAUUCCUAUUUUUCUCAAAAUAUAUUUGACAUAAUAUCAACAUCAUUGAGUAAAUUCCCUAAAUAAUCACCCAUGUUUGAAAAUUUGCCUAAUAAUAUCACUUUUAUUUUUUUUAGGACCACAAUAUCACCCAACUAUUCCUAUUUUUCUCAAAAUAUACUUGACACAAUACCAACAUUCUUCUCUCUCCUAAUAGAAUACCAUGUCACAUUUUUUUUUUUUAACAAUACAUAAAAGAGUGUUUUGUCUCUAUAAGCAUCAACUUCUUUUACAUAUUCAAUCAAAAUAUUUACCUAAUUCUUGAAUAAGCAACUUCUUUUACUUAUUCAAUCAAAGCAUUUACCUAAUUUUUGAAGAUUUCGAAGCUGCAACGGUGAAUAAGUGUACAUGUUGUUAUACUUUCAGUAGUUCAAUACAUUAUUUUCUGUACGAGAAUCUAGUUACUUCAAUUUCAUAGCGAAAAUCUUUAUUCUCUAUUUCAUUCACGAGUAUUUGCAUGAACAUCAACUUCUCUUCAUACAAAAAUUUAACCUUUCUCUUAUCAAAAGAAAAAAUUAAAUUAGUUCCUUGGAGCUAAUCAGGAAGACAAAACAUAAUAACAAAUUUUCUUCCCUGUCUUACCAAACUAUAUGCACAAACAAAUUUGGCCUUCAAAAUAACAAAUUUUAGCAUCAAUACUUCAAAAAAGUGUUAUAACUUACUAUAAUUUACAGCUAAAUAAUAUUUUAUAGGCAAGUGGCAACAUCACACUGUACCACGCCAUAAUAUAAACACAGAGAUUUUAGCAAAAGAAGACACACAAUGUGUCUAAAUAAGUGUUUCACAUAACUAACAAAAGAAACUAAUGUAUAAUCCCUAUAUUUUACUAAAGUUUCUCUUCUUCUUCUUCAACAAAACUACAUAAUUCUUCAUGACUUUUCUUUCAAAAUGGCUUCCUUUCUUUGCUGUAAAAGAAGGUCAAUCAACAGAUUCAACAUGUACACCUCCCUGAGCCAACAAUAGAGGAAAAAAAAAUACAAUUAAGCAAUGAAACUAAUGGGAAAAAAAAUCAUAACUUUGCAAUAAAUUAACUGAAAAUAAAUAAAACAAGAAUUCAUUAUGUGAGUUCUAGUUGACUGCUUUGUUGAAUUCAAAUCCAUUUGUGAAUCUACUCAAAUUUUUGGAUGAUAAAAUUUAGAAUAAUUUCACAAAUCAUCAUUUUCAGCUUGUUCUUUGAUUGAUCUAGAGAUUGAUUUGAAGAAACGUCUACAACCUUUUUGAGCAUAUAGAGAUGCAAGAAAUUUAUAAACAUUAGAGGUAUAAGGUGCAAUAGUUUUGGGAUAAAAUGCAAGAUUACUUAUCCUACGUUUGGAUAAAGGCAUUACUUAGUCCCGAAAUUAUUUAAGUGAUGGAAUUAGUUAUCAUCUAUGGUGGAAUAACUAAUCGUUGGAUUAGUUAUCCCGGAAUAACUUAUUCUAGUUAUUUUCAACCAAAUAACCCCUUAAGAGUAGAUGCCUCCCAUGUUCUACACAGACUAUAGACACAAACACAUAAUGCAGAUUCAAACAAUAGAAUAUCCCAUUCAAAAACAAGCAAAAAAAAUUCUAAAUUUUAAGAAAAUUACUCCAAUACCACAUUGAGUAUUCAAAUUAUUUCACAAUUUAAACUUCAAAGAUUGAAAAAAAAAAUCGAAUUUUACUUCGUGACGAUAUCUUUGGUCGAUAUCAAAGGGAUACAGAGGCUAGAGAUACAAUCUAUUAUGCAAAUUCAUUAAUUUAUUCAUUGAAGAACCAACAAUUUCCUCAAAGAACCAGAGGAUUCCAUGUUAGAAGUUGCCUCAGAACUCUAGAAAAUUUUUUCGGACAGAAAAAUAUGCCUCUUUGUAAUCUUCUUCUAGGGUAAAAGAUCGGUGGUUUAAAAGGUUAAAAAACUUAUUAUUAAAAAAGAAAAAUGUCAAGUAUAUUUUGAGAAAAAUAGGAAUAGUUGGGUGAUAUUAUGGUCAUAAAAGAAACAAAAAUGAUAUUAUAAGACAAAUUUCCUAACAUGGGUGACUGUUUAGGGAAUUUACUCCAACAUCAUUCUUUCUCCUAAUAGGAUGCCAUGUCACACUAAUAUAUAAUGUGUUUUAAUUUACAAAAUUUUAUAAACUUGAAUAGAUUCUCAGGAAAUUAGAUCGAAAAUAAUCAGAAAUGAUUGAGUCGGUAUACAUAUUUGAGUGUGUUUGGUAUGAUGGAAAAUAUUUUUCCCGAAAAAAAUUUCCUGAAAAAAAAGUUGGUUUUCUACUUAUUUUCUCAUGUUUGGUUGGUGAGUGAAAAAUAUUUUAUAGUGUUUGGUUGGUGAAUAGAAAAUAUUUUUUGAAAAAUAUUUUCUAGUGUUUGGUUGGUGAGUGAAAAAAUAUUUUUUAAAAAACACUACUAACUGUUAACUAGUAUAUCAUUGUCUCCAGCAACUCAACAAUUUGUAAUAACUAAUUUAAGCAUAACAAAUAAUAUCAAUAUCGAGUACUAAAAUAUUACAAGUCACUAAAUUUUAAGCAACUACUAAUUAGCAAGCAUAGGAGACACUUUUCAAUAUUUUUGCAAGACAAUCUCAAGAUACUACAAUCAAUAAAAAUACAACGAAAUGAUAAGCUUAUUCAACCUUGUGAAACAAGCUACGGCGAUGACAAAAUGAAAUAUGCAAUUAGCAAAAUUAACAUAGGUAAGUCUUCCUUUAUGCAAAUGGAAAUAACAGUACAUUUAAAAAACAUUGGAAACAGAAAAAAAAUCCGGACUUCACUAUUUUUUAUUUCAAGUAAUGAAAAAAUUGGAAAAACGCAUAGUAAAAAAAAUUUCUGAGUAAUGAAUUUUUUUUGAAUAAUGUGAUUUUGAGUGUUGUUGGUGUGGAAAAAAGGGUUGGGGUGGAGUCAUAAGCUAUAUUUGUCAUUUUCUGAAAAAUAACUUUCCUUGCCCAAGGAAGUUAUUUUUCCUCAAAUAGAGGAAAAAUAAGUUAUUGUGAAAAAUAUUUUCCCAACAUUUUAUUACAACCAAACAAAGAAAAAUAGGAAAACAUUUUUCAUCAUACCAAACACACCCAUUAUGUAUAUAUAUUCUCCUCAUGUUAACAUUAGGUAGGGGUGUACACAUCAAACCGUCAAGUCAAAUCGAACCGAUGAACCAAGACAAAUCGAGAAAAAAACCGACUUAUGGUUUGAUUUGAUUGGUUUGACAUUAGAAAAAAAAAUCGACCAUUUUUUAUUUGGUUUGGUUUUGACAAAAAAAAAAAAGUCAAACCGAAUCCGAAUCAAACCGACAUAAUAUAUAUAUAUAUAUAUAUAUAUAUAUAUAAUAUUCAAACUUUUUUAUACAUAAAAUAUUAAUUAUAAUCUACUUUUUAANNNNNNNNNNNNNNNNNNNNNNNNNNNNNNNNNNNNNNNNNNNNNNNNNNNNNNNNNNNNNNNNNNNNNNNNNNNNNNNNNNNNNNNNNNNNNNNNNNNNNNNNNNNNNNNNNNNNNNNNNNNNNNNNNNNNNNNNNNNNNNNNNNNNNNNNNNNNNNNNNNNNNNNNNNNNNNNNNNNNNNNNNNNNNNNNNNNNNNNNNNNNNNNNNNNNNNNNNNNNNNNNNNNNNNNNNUUAAUUUUAUAUUAAUUUAAUUUAUAAUUUUAAUAAACCUACAUAAUUAAUUUUUUAUUUUUUAAAAUAAAAAUCGACCGCCAUUACCAAAACCCCAAAAGGGCAGAAAAUAUCUCACCAUCUAUUUUAGUUCUAUAAAUAAAUAAAAGCCACGCGUGGAUCUCUCUCUCUCCUAUCCAUACAUCCUUCUAGGGUUCCGCCUUCAGCCACCACGAUGCAACCAGCAAAUUCCAUGGUUCCACCGCCACAGCAAUACCAACAGACACAGCCCUGGAUGACUCAGCAGCAGCCGCAGUAUCAGGUUGCGCCGCCGCAGCAAUCGGCAUAUUAUUACCAGCAACCACCGCAACAAGGCGGUGUUCCUCCACCCGUUCAACAACAACAACCACCGCAGUACACCCCUGCUGCUACCGCUCCUGUUCAACCGGCUAGUGCUGAUGAGAUCCGAAGCCUUUGGAUCGGAGAUCUACAGUUUUGGAUGGAUGAACAAUACCUUCUCGGCUGCUUCGCACAAACCGGAGAGGUAUGAAAAAUACCUUUUUAUUGUUUUCUUGUACAAUUUGAUAUAGAUUCUUGCUAAGUUUUUCGAAUGGUUCAUGUUCUUGAAUUAGAUCGAAAAAUCUUUGACUGUUAUGUAUUUGUAUGCAUAAAUAUUGAAGUUCUUAAUGUUUGUGACUUAUAGAACUUCUUGUGUAGUGUUCUAGAUACGUAAAUUAUUUUUCAAAAAGCUUAAAAUUGUAUGUCGAAUGGUUUGACUCUCUGAACUAUGUCAUAUAAAGAAUUUGCUGUUCUCAGUAUCUAGUAAUUUUGUUGUUAAGAGGUAUGUGAAUAUGAUGUAGUUCAUAGUAAGUGAAUUUUCUGUUACAUUGUUGGUAAAAAAUAUGUGGAUGAUCUGUAAUUGUAUUCAGUAGCUUGCCUUACAUGGUUGGAUAAAUGUUUCGACUGUAUGCUGUAGUAUAUUUUCAGUUGCGUGUAUACCUUUGUUGGCAAAAGAUAUGUGAUAUAAUGUUUGUAUUAAACCCUGUGUUAGGUAAAAUUCUUAAAUUUUGCUGUACAUAGCGACAACAAUAACUGGGAAUUUGUGGAUUUGAAAAGAAUUGUGACUAGUUUUGCUUACACAGUGGCAAGAUUAACUUGGAAUUUGUGGAUUUUUAAAGAAUUGUGUGUUUGUUGUAAUUAGUUAGUUGAACCAUUGCUUGAUAUUUAAUUCGUAUAAUUUGAACUCUAUGAUGUUAGUGGGAUUACACUGGGUAUGUUGUUGUUGUUGCUGUUAAUGGUUGCCUUUUAUGUUCUAAAAAUAAGUUUCUCUGCAAUUUAAGAUUUUUUUAAUAUGUUGCAAGUUGAAUUGUUAUUGGUUAGGAACUUCUUUAAUUUUUUAAUCCUAAUUGGUGGUUGUAACUUACACUUGCUGGUACCUGCUUUUAUUGACUUUGGGUAUUGGGUAUUGACGCUAGAUAGGAUUUUGACGAAGCCUCACUGUAUUUGAGCUACUGAACGAAGGGAGCUAGUAAUCCUUACAUAACCUUAUUAAAUAAAUAAAUCCAUGCCUAAAUCUUUGUGCGAAGUUGUUUGUGCUAAAUGAUUGUGUGAUGGUUUCCUUUAGAUGCCUAAUUGCUGAAACAUACAAUAAGAACAUUUUCACUUGCCCCCUCCCUCUUUCUAUUUAACUAUCUUCUCUUUUACAUUGUAUGGGCAGUAUUAUUACUAGUAUUAACAAUCUUCUUUCCCUUUCCCUUGCCCUUUUUGUUUUUUGUAAAGAGAAUUUAAACUGUUUGUCUAUGAUGUAGGUGAUCUCUGCUAAAGUUAUCCGUAACAAGCAAACUGGACAAUCAGAGGGUUAUGGCUUUAUUGAGUUUAUUAGUCAUGCUGCCGCAGAAAGGAAUCUGCAAGCAUAUAAUGGGACCUUGAUGCCUAACAUUGAGCAAAAUUUCAGACUUAACUGGGCUUCUCUUGGUUCUGGUGAAAAACGUGCUGAUACUCCUGAAUAUACAAUAUUUGUUGGUGACUUGGCAGCCGAUGUCUCUGAUUAUAUGCUUCAGGAGACAUUUAGGGCUAACUAUCCAUCUGUGAAGGGUGCCAAGGUUGUAACAGAUAAGCUCACGGGGCGCACCAAGGGUUAUGGUUUUGUUAAAUUUGGUGAUGAAAGUGAGCAGUUACGUGCUAUGACUGAGAUGAAUGGACAGUUUUGCUCCACUAGGCCUAUGCGGAUUGGUCCUGCAGCUAACAAGAAGAGCAUGGGUGGUCAAAGUCAAGGUAUGCCUCAACCUAGUUGGUAUGCAUUAUGUGGUAAUCUUUGUAGCAGUUAAGGGAAACAAAUUCAACUUCCAGCUUGUUUGCUAACUUCACUCGGCUUUUAGAUUCUGGAACUUUCGUGUUGUGUUUACUUGUCCUAAAUUCCUUUGAUGGUCUAGUUUUCAUAGCUUGAGGAUGCUUUUCCUUUAUUUUGGGCUGAAGUGAUGUCUUUAUAUGUUCUGCUUAGCUAUGCAGGUGUCAUUAUAUUUCCUUUCAUUCCAUUAUGCUGUUGAAUUCUUGAUGAAUACCCAGCUGUCGACUUCAUUUCGUUCCAGUAGUUAAAAACUUCCCAUUGCAAUAUUAAAUCUUAUAAAACUCCGCUUAUCUCCAAGCAGGAUGAUUUGGAGGCUCUAUGAUUUAAGGGUCUGGACGCUUGUUUCAGCUGAAAUGAAUACCUUUUAGGGCGUGGUGUGGCGUAAGUCAGUUCAUUUAAAUGUAGUUAAAUUUCGCUCUGUAGGAUCCUCUUGACAUUAAACCUUUUUAAGUUUUGCAAUUUUUUCAUUACUCCGUACUCCAGUUAGAUUGCUUUAUCUCUACUUUUCAGCCAUUUUGCUUUGUCCUUACUUUUCAACCAUUUUACUUUUAUCAUUAAUUUUCAGCCAUUUUGCUACAUCAUUACUUUUCAGCCAUUUUACUUAUCAUUAAUUUCAGCCAUUUUAGUUUAUCAUUAAUUUCGGCCGUUUUGCUUUAUCAUUAAUUUCAGCCAUUUUGCGUAAUCAUUAAUUUCAGCCAUUUUGCGUUGUCAUUACUUUUCAGCCAUUUCACUUUAUCAUUACGUUUGAGACAUUUGACUUUAGAGGUUAUAUUUCAGCCGUCUAAUUCGAUAUCUUGUUGCCUGCCUCAAGUUGCACUCUGAUCUUUAGUAUACCUCUACAGGUUGUGGCAGUCUCAUUCAUUACUUUAGUUGUCCUAGUCCUGGAUUUAUUUCUUAGUUUUACUCCAUUUACCUCGUGAACCUGUUCAGUAAUCCCCCUUCACAGGAGUGAGAGGUUACAUCGUCUGUUUCUUGUUUGUCCAAGAUCUUGGUACUCAUUUUUUUUUUUUUGCAAUGCUAUUACUAUUGGGGGUAUUAAAAUCAUUUUUCUUUCAGCAUGAUUUACUUUUAAAUUAUGAAUUAUUGUGACAUGAAAUAUCUUCUUGAUAAAAAAAGGGAUUUGUCUUUUUAUCUGAUGGAGUGCUGGUAGCUGUUUGUAUAGUUUCUUGUAACAUUAUUUAGGGAAACUAGUCCCCUUUCCUAGUUUCUUGCCUUUCUUCUUUAAUAGUCAUGUGCUAAGGCAAUAAAAUUAUCUUAAUGCAUGAGAUAGGAGCCCCACUUGGUUGGAUUAUACUGCGUAUGUUGUUGCAUGAGAUAGGAUGUGAUAAGUUGAUGCCGUGGGAAGCCCAUGAUAUUAUUAUUCAGAAACCGCAGGACAUCUGAUGGUGUAUUAUUUAUUAUAUACAUCAUGUAAAUGUAUUUUCUAUUUGCUGACUCAUAUAUUGGUCUGUCUCUUCGCCUUUGCCAAACUCUGGCCCAUCCUUCACAAAUUUGAACAUAGAUCUUUUCUUGUUUCUGAACUUCCAAAAGCACAUCUGCAUGUAUUCACUGUGGUAUCUGAAGAACCUCUCAUUUGAUGAUCCAACAUUUCAGAAGUGUGCAUUUUCGAAUGCUUGAUUGCACUAUCUCAACUGUUGGACGUGCCUCCUGAUUUUCUUAAACCUUUCAAGUCAAAUGUCUGUCAGCUUGUGUUCUCUCAACUCGUGCACUUUCUGUUUCUUUUGAGACCUGUAAGAGCUAACAGUUAUUGUACGUCUUGUACUGUUGGAGCAGUGUAACCAUCAGUCUGUUGCUUGCAUUGUGUAAUUGUGAAAUGACAGUGCAGUGUUAUCUCGCUUGCAUUGUGUAAUUGUGAAAUGACAGUGCAGUGUUAUCUCUUGAACCUGUACAUUGAUUUGUUUUUAGUUUUAGUCUUCUGCUUUGUAGUUUUGUAUUCCUACUGUCAUGUCUUUGCUAAAACGUGUGUAAUGCACUUCAUCAUACUCAGAUAGCAUAAAGUUCUCCACACACUCCUCACAUUCUCUUCUUCAAUUUGCAGCUUCGUAUCAAAGUUCACCUGGAACUCAAAAUGAGGAUGACCCUUCUAAUACCACUGUCAGUACAUUUCUUUGUGGUAUCAUUUGACGUUCUGUUAGCUUGUACUCAUAGCCAAAUAAUUUGGUUGCAGAUUUUUGUUGGGAACUUGGAUUCCAACAUAACGGAUGAACAUCUAAGGCAGGUUUUUGGACAUUAUGGGCAGCUGCUUCAUGUAAAAAUACCAGUAGGCAAGCGUUGUGGAUUUAUUCAGUUUGCUGACAGGUAUAGUAAUAAGCUUUGUCUAUAUGAUCGAUCUCAAUGCUUGGAGAAGUUAACACAUGUUCCAUCUUCGUUAUUGCAGAAGUUGUGCUGAGGAAGCUCUGCGGGCAUUAAAUGGAACUCAGCUGGGUGGACAAAGCAUCCGUCUUUCUUGGGGUCGUAGUCCUGCAAACAAGCAGCAGGUAAGUAAUGCUGAAAUUAUAAUUUCUGGUUGUGGCUCUUCUCAAUCUGCCAAUCUGAAUUUUAUGUUCCUUCUCUGGCUUGUGCAGCCCCAGGUUGAUCCAAACCAAUAUGGUGGUUAUUAUGGGUAUACAGCUGGAUAUGAAGGCUAUGGUUAUGCUCCCCCUGCUCAGGAUCCAAAUCAGUAUUAUGCAGGCUAUGCUGGAUAUGGUAAUUACGCACAACCUCAACAGCAUCAGCAAAUUUUGCAGCAUCCCCAGGUUCGAUGAACCCUUUGAGCUUAUUUAUUAACUAAAGCUACUCCCUCCGUCCAACAAUACUGUCCGCUAUUGACUCGGGGCACAUGUUCAAGUAACAAUAUAUAAUAGGGGUAAUUUUACUAUAUCACCCUUUGAAUAUGGUAAAUUGGAUGUCUUGGAAAAUGUAUUGAUUGAUGAAUAAUAGUAUUUAAUAGGAAGGGUAAAACUAAUAGAGAAGGGUAAAUGAUCCAUCGAUUUUUCAAACUGGACAAGUAUUGGUGGACAUCUAUUUUUAGUAUUGUUGGACAGAGGGAGCACUCAACACCCACCAAAAUGGAAAUGAAUGCAACAUUGUUCAAGGCUAUUAAUACUAUCUUAUUAAGUUUUUGACUGCUUUUAAUCUUUUCUCCACGUUUUUGUUAGUUGCUUUCUAAAAUAUAAUGAUAUGUAUGAAUACUCAUCCCCACUUCCUUUUGCAGUGAUCUGUCCAAGGAGUUGCCGAGUGCUUCCCGGCAUGUAGUGAUGUUAUAAGCAGCACAUGAGAUUUUCAGUUGGAAUCCAGACGUGUUUCACUUUCUUAGGGUGUUUUGGGAACUCUUCUGUAGGCUAUUUCUUUGGGAUACAAAUUAUGGUUAUGGUCAACUGAUUGUGUGCUCUUUGUUUUUUGGUUACCAUUUGGCUACUUAUAUAUGAGAUCUAGAUAUACUUGAAGACCUCGGGGAAGUGUAGGCAUGUAUUCAUGUGCUUUUUGGCUAUUUAAGCUAUGCUUAACGCUUUAUUUUGCUCGUUGCUAUACGUUUGUGCCACCUUUCAUAGUAGUUUUUACCACGUUCCUCCAAAAACAAUUGCACAGAUGGUCAUUUGGAUGACUGCCGUCUCAAGUUAUUUUGAUAAAAUGCUCGUAGGGCAUUGGUGUAGGGUUAACUUUAUAUUGAUGCCUAGUGCCGGAUGCGACAGUGUAGGGUAUACUUACUAUUGAUGCCAAUUGCCAGAUGAUGUGGCUUGGUCCUGCUUCCGGGUCUUGUAAUAAGUGAUAAUGGCCCUUCUAGGCAAUGUCUAGCAUAAAUUUUCGUAGUGGUGGUAGGAUCACAAAUGAGACAGCAAAUGGCUGUAAAUUCUUCUUUUCAUUGCUGCUCACGAUGCCAUUAUCGGUGGUCUAGAUUUUCUAUGGUUGUUGCUUGUUUGCUGCCAUACCUUGGACCCACCACCAAUCAAAAGAUAUUGCGAGUGCGCUCAAUAAGGUAACACCCAUUUUCCGGUUUCAUGCUGGGAAGUCUUAGGGUUACCCCCAAACGAAGGAAACUCCAACCCAGGAGGUUCGAACUUGAAAUCUCUGAAUAAGGAUGGAAUAAGGAUGGAGUACUGAGGAAAUUAAAAUCAUCAAUUCGUUAGGGUAGUGGGUAUAUGUGCAUUCAAGCUGCUACUUUUUGGGAUCACAUAUUUAGGAAGAUUCGAUCCAAUAAUUGCAAGACGUUUGAUAAGACUAGUGCUGGAGCAGAGAAAUAACCAACUUCCAAAUAGUACUCACGUAACAGAAGACGCUAAUAUUAAAGGAAUGCGAAGAGACAAAUAAUAUUAAAGGAAUGCGAAGAGACAAAUAGCUAUCUGAUUUUGCUUUUGAUACACACUGGCAUACUGAAUUCUCUUCUCCAGCAGUGGCAAGAACUUUAAAUGGAAUUGUCAGAUCAUGCCUAGUUUAAAUAUAAACCAGUUCGUAAAUGUACCCAUAAGAAAGACUGAGACGGCCAAUUUGUUAUUCCUCCAAGGCAUAUCCCAGCAAGAACGGAAAUUUGGACCUUAGCACUAAUUAGAACAACUUUCACAAUCUCUCAUAAGGAAAACAAGGGAAAAACAAAUACACGAAUGCUCACUCUCCUCAAACCACAAGCUGUGUGGAAGGCUGAAAGCUGGAAGUAGUAGUCAACAGUUCACAAGCAUCUCGGUUUCUGUGUGUGUGUCUGCAUCACUGUAUGUGUAUAGUCCAGGUACAACAACAUAGCCAGUGUAUCCCAUAAGUGGGGAUAGUAUAACCAUAUAUUGCAUAAUAAAUGCCUAUUCUAACGCCAAAGCUAUGUCAAAUACGUUGUCAAAUACAAUACAAAUGCAAGAUACUCCAAGUACACACCAAAACAUACAUACUACAUACUAACUUAGACUAACCUUCUAUCCUAAUUCGCCUCCUCCACAACUUCCUAUCCAGGGUCAUGUCCUCGGUAAGCUGAAAUUACUCCAUGUCAUGUCGAAUCACCUCCCUCCAAUAUUUCUUCGGUCUACCUCUACCUCGCUUGAAACUAUUCCUAGCCAAUCUCUCACACCUUCGUACUGAGGCAUUCUUGCUCCUCAUCACAUGACCAAACCAUCUCAACCUCGCUUCCCUCAUCUUGGCUUCCACCGAAACCACUCUCACCUUAUUUCGAAUAACCUCAUUUCUAAUCCUAUCUUUCCUAGUACACCCACACAUCCACCGAAGCAUUCUCAUCUCCGCCACCUUCAUCUUCUGAAUGUGGUUCUUCUUAAUAGACCAACACUCCGCUCCAUACAACAAAGCUGGUGUAACCACCAUUAAAGAGACAUUGCAUAGCCAAUGAAAAUAAAAAACAGGUCACACAAGAGCCGCAUUUUGCAUUUAAUAUAUGUUCUUCUAGAGACUAUGAUUUCCAGUAUCUCAAUCCCUUUUACAGGAAAAUCAACAUGUAGUUCAAACAUGUCCAAUUAUAUAUUUACUUCGUGUUAUUUCUAUUUGUCACAUUUUGAUCUAACAUACAUGCGUAUUAAAGAAUAAUAAUAAUAAUAACUAAUAUAAUUAUUUUACUAAAUUUCUUAGAACAUUUUAAAAUAUCUAUCCAUCCAUCCAAUUUAUCUUGUAAAUUAUCGGAUCGAAUAUUACUUAGAUGUGAAACUUGCAGACCUCAUUGGUUGUAAUAUUUAUCGUACGGUCUUUAUUAGUUGAUGUAUAAAUAUUAGCGUUUCAUUCUUUCAAUAAUAUUUGUCCACUAUCAACUUGACACAAUUAAGAAAUAAUUAAUAACAAAUAAUUUUUAUCGUAUUAUCUUUUAAAGAUAUAAUUUAUUAUUUUAAAAAAUAUGUUGGAUAAUAAAUAGUGUUUAAUUUAUUUCUUUUUAUCCUCAACUGAGAGCACUUGUUGUUUACCCUCUGACCAUUAUGAUAUCUGUUUUGACAGCUUGAUAAUAGUAUUUGUUUUUGUGUACAUAAAACUGACACUAAUAUCUUAAACCUUGUAUGUACUACCAUAUUGUGUUGUAGUAAUAUUUUGAUAAAUAAAUAUAUUGCUGAAAUUUUUGUCAACCAAAUGAUAAUAUCUCUUAAUCGAUACUGAAAAUUUUGCAAGCGUUUACGUUAAGAUAAUAUUGUUGCACCACAGUAUUAUCAAAAGCAAAAAACUAACGCAAAAAAGCUUCAAGGUCCAUUGAGUUUAAGCACAACGUACAAAUAUAGCGUGAGAUUUAACGAAAAAGGCAUAAAGGGAGAAUAAAUAUAAAUAUAUGUCUAGUCCAAGACUAAUAAUAUAAGCAUGAAUGAAAAAUAUAUGAGUAAAGAAAUUAAUUUUUUUUUACAAAGUGAAAUGUCAAUUGAUUGAGUGUUCGUCUCUUCAGAAAACCUCAUUGAUAAGGAAAAGUAAGUCUUAGAAAUUAAAACCUAAACUGAACAUUGCGAGCGCUCAACACAUUUUGAGUCUUGCUUCAGGGCUUAUGCGCGCGUUUGAUAACACUGGUGCGCCCACAGACUUCAAAUCAUGAGUGCCUCUGCACAUAAAUAAUAUAAUUUUCCGUCAAAAAAAAUUUGGAUGAAUCCCCUAAUCAUAAGCUCGCCCCUGCUUUAUAAAGCAGUUUUCUCCGUCUCAAAUUAUUUGUUGCGGUUUCUAAAAGUAUUUAUCUCGAAUUAAUUGUCGUUUUAGAAGUUUAAGAUAAAUAAUUAUCUUUCUAAACCAUUUCAAUUCAAAAAUACUUCCUCCAUUCAUCAAUAGUUGUCUCCUAUUGACUUGACACGCAUAUUAAAACUAUUAAAUGACAGGGAUAAUUUUAAUGUUUUGAAAAAUUCUUUGAAUAUUCAAUCGCAUUUAAUUUUAAAGACAAUAAAUAAAUUAUUCAUUAAUUUUAUAAAUUAAAUAAGUAUUAUUGAACAUUUAGUUUUAAUAUAAUAGACGGAGUAAUUAUCACAUUGACAACUUGCUACUUAUUUUAGUGUAUAAAAUGAUAUGAUACAGUCAAAUAUAAGACACAUUAAGACACAUGAACCCUGAACUUAAAUCCUAAAUCCUAAACCUAAUUCCAAAUCCCAAAUCCUAAACCCUAACUUAACUCUAAACCUUAAACCCUGACCCCUUAACCCCAAACUCCAAAAUCCUAACUCCAAACCUUAAAUCUUAAACCCCAAACCCUUAACCGCAAAUUCUAAACCUUAAACUUUAAAUCCCAAACUCUUAAUCCUAUCGUUUGGGGCCCGAGGCUGGGCAUGAGGCUGUCAUUGGGCCCGACCCCCUCCCGACACUGAAAAAUUUCAUUCAAAAGAUCAAGUUGUAGAUCUUGAUGAUACAAAUUCAACGCAAAAAACCCCGUCGACAAAUUCCACCCCCAACUCCGGCAAUGUCGAAAAAACAGUCGCGAUCAUUGUUCAUCCGAACUUGGAACAAAUUGCAUGGCACAAAUGAUUAUUUCUCUAGAUCAAUUGGAUUUGAAUCUAAGCAACAUUCCGAUUAGGAAUCAUAGUCCUCAUCUUGAUGUUCAACAAAUCAAAAAUUUGGACAAUUUCACCGUCUCUAUCGCCGGCGAAUUCUGCUAGUGACAAAGACAAAGCACCGCCGUUCCGCCUCGAAAUUGAACCAUCGUCCAGCGAAUUUUGUGGUAGCGCGACCCUUGGGUUUUGUGCGCCAUCUGCUGAUCUAUCAGAUCAAGGAAAUUCAAAGCAGUCUAACGACGAAAACUCUGGCAAACUAUUGUUCAAUGCCGACGCCGGAGCUUCGACCGGCAAAAAUGAAAAAUUCCAACGCCAAAAGAUGCGCACUGAUGAGGCGAACCCAACCAUGCAAAAAUACCCAAUUGUUUCAUCUCAGAACGUAUCCAAUUUGAGUUUGAAAGUUACGCCACCUAGGGUGAUUUUUGACGAAGGCGCCGCCGCUGCCGCAACCGGCCAAUUGGAAAUUGGGUUGGGGGUUCUGAUCGCAAUAUGGACAGCAAUACAAAUACACAAGAAGCCCCAAUUGUUUUGCAACAGGAAAUUAGGGUUUCAAAUCGGCAAAAUUCUAACAAUGCCGGCGAUGGAACUCCGGUCAGUGAUAAUCAAAAUUGCUUGUCAAAUUUGAUUCAGGAGGACAAUGCAUGUAUUUCUCCUCAAGAAAAUCAAAUAGACGAGGCCGGAGCUCUUCUAUUUUCUCUUUUAGGCUUAACGAUGAAGUACAAUUAACCGGAGAUGGUGUUCCGAUGUCUAGAGAGCAUAAUUCACGGUCCAAAAUCUAUCCUAAAGCUAUGGUGAAUGCGGAUACUCCUCAAGGACAUGCAUUGGACCAACAAAAUGGUAAGUUGAAUUCUAACUUGAUUAAUGCUAAUGCUUGUCUGUUUGUGAUGAAAGGAAACAAUGAACUAAUAUUGAUGAGGAACCAACACAAUUCUCAAAGUCCUGAGGACGCAAUCAACAUCACCAAUGCUAAAUUUACGUGUCCGAGGGCUAAACCGAGGGAUGAUCACUUUGCAAAACAUGAUGGAAAACAACAAAAUACAACUGUAUGUCCAACAGGAGAACAACAACUUCAUCAAUCGACGGACACGACAAAUGCAGGUAAGUACCCGAAUCCCUUGAAUUCAAAUCAUUUUGAUUCCAGUAAUUUAGUUAACACUAUAGCUCAAUUGCAAUGUGAUGCAAUAGAACAAAGUAUUGGUGAUCUAACCUAUGAUGUGCAGCUUAAGGAAAAUGAUACCAAGACCAUUCUAACAAAGCUCAUAAACAACACCACACAAACUAUGAUUAUCCAAAAGUUUCCAGGAAUUUUGACAAGUAUGACCCCAAAACUCAAACCAAUACUCAGAAUAUUUCCCUCAAUAAUCCCAACAGACCUACUUUGCCUAACCCCAACAACAACCCAAAAAAUAAUUAGGACUCUACUCAGCAUAAGCACCAAAAGAAAAACCUGAAAAACCUUUCAGAAAAUCACAAUAAAGACACUACUUCUGAUAACACCAACAAUACCAAAAAUAAACUUGUUCCUGAACUAGCUCCCUUCACUGUUGUGCAAUCUUAUGCUACCAGAUUGAGAGCUAACAACAGAAAAAUGAGGUCCCUUUUGAACUGGAUUCUCUGAAUUUUACUAGUAGACAGGGCUUAAAAAAUCUCGAUCUCCGAAAGCAUUUUCUUUCCCUCGCCGCACCUCUCUUUGAGGAGCAGGACUUUGUGGUCAAGCUGGCUAGUAGGUGCAAGUAUACUCUUGUUGGAAAGUUCACUAACACUAUGCCAAAAGAUUGAGCUUAUUAGGAAAAGUUUCAUCCUUCAAACUCAACUCACACCGAGGUGUGAAAAUAGCUCAUUUUAAUGCAAGACAUGUCUACAUUGAAUUAGACAAUGAGCAAUAUCACCUCAUUAUUUGGACUCAACAGAGGAUGUACAUUGAAGGUCAAUUAAUGAUGAUACAUGUGUGGACUCCUACUUUCAUACCUGUGGAAGAGAUUUCUAUUGUGCCUAUUUGGGUCACUGUAACGCCCCAAAAAUCUGUCCUAAGACGUCACACGAUGCCUAGGAUCACAAGUGACCCCAAGCUAACCCUUCUACUGGCAUAACUCAUAAGCAAUUGAAUGAUGUGCAUAAAACGACUGAGUUUACUGUGCGAAAAUGUAAUAAUAAUGGAAUCUGGAAAAAAUACAAUAUCAAUACACUUUUACAUUCUGAUAAAGUCUAAAAGAGGGACUGAAAAUACAUAACUGAAUCUAACUAACAUCUGUGAAGCCUCUACUAUACUGACUAUCGAUAGCUGAGACAUGACCCCCAACUAUCCCAAAUCAAUACGACUAAAUAAAUAAAAUAAAAUACUACUCAAACUAUAUGACUGACUCGAGCCCUUGAAUCAAGAGGACUCAUCACCUGCCGACUGAAAGCUGCAGUCUGUCUGAAUAUGGUAUGUGUGCUACAACUGAACUGAUACCUACAUUAUGAGAUAAUGUAGCACAUAGACGUAUAUGUGGGUCAGUACUUUGAGGAUGUACUGAGUAUAUGGGCGUGAAAUACAUGAGUCGAACAUCAUAUCGUCAUCAUAAUUUGUAAAACAAUGCAUGCUAAAUGUAAAUGACUUACAUAAGCUAGAAUAUCUGAAAUACUGAAAAUAAUAAUCAUGAGAAAUAAAUCAUACUUGUAAAUCUAGUGAGCCAUAACAUUUAGUUCUAAAAGUUGUGCUAAUACUCUGUCUUUAAAUCAUACUGUCUAAGUGUAGAAAGGACGCACUUCUAAGCUUGAAAUCUGAAAAUUGAAAUUCGUAACUCUUUAUCUUUCUGUAAAGCAUAAUAUGAGUAAAACGGUGAGCCUUUACACAUAGUUUUUUUUUCUAAUAUCUGGAAAAUACUUUAUCUUAUGGCUUAAAAUCUUAAAACCAUAACUUCCAAAACAUAUGUUUUUAUCUUAAAUCUUUAAAUCAAUAGACUGUUAAAGAGUGGGGACAUCUGUUGGGAGGUUCUUCUAACCGACAUACACCAUGUGAGCAUCCAUGGAGUCCCACGACUGGUCCCCGUUAGGUAGGGUUGUUCUACCCUUGCCAUCGAAAUAGAACUUCUAAUCUGAGUAAUCACAAUCUGAGUCAUCCACGUAGAAGUGGGAAUAAUCUGAUAAUCUGUACCUUCGAUGGCACGUAGUUCUGGGGUAUGAAACCGUAGUAACUUACCCAUCUCGGUGCUAAAUACUACUCCCAUUCUUAUGCUUAAAAUCUUAAGAAAUCCCUAUCAAAAAUAGCACAAAGGUUUACAGAAAGCCAACUAUGCUUUACUUUUCUUUAAAUCUCAAGUCUUCUGAAAUAAAGUGGAUUCUUUAUCUGAAAUCUGAAAAUAAUCUAGUCAUGGGGUGAUUAUAGCACUAAAAAUCUUGAAACAACAAUCUUUAAAUGAGGCCUGGUGACCCAAGCAUCAAUCUCAUGUUAAAACAUCUCAAAAUUCAUACUUGGUAAUGUAAACAUUCAUAAAUCAUCUUAAAAUCUGAAAAUCUCAACAAUAUGUAUGGAAAUAUAAACAUAAUCAUGUGAUUCAACUUUUAAAUCAUGAAAAAAUCUCAUAAUCUUGCAAAUAAUGAUAAUGGGUAUAAACCCUAACUUGAAAUUCAUGAGAAAUCAUAUAAAUUGCAGUAAAUUUGUAAUAAAAUAAAGUUUUGGGCACAAGGAUGAAAGAAUUAUCCUUGUUCAAACCCCAAAUACCUUAAUUGAUGAUCUUUGAUGAAAAUCUCAAAUCUUGGAUUCCUAGUGAUGCUUUGGAGAUGAAUUCUUAGAGUUCUUAUAUUGGGAAAUCCUUAAUCUUGAGUUUCCUUGGAGAAUUAAUGGAGGAAUUUGGAUUUCUUGGAGAGAAAGUUUGAGCUUUAGGGUUUUCUUUUGAGAGUGAAUAGAUGAAAAGUGAAUAUGAUGAGCUUUGAAUGGGUUAAAUUCUCUGUUAUUCAUGACCUGGGGCUUGGAAAAGACCAAAGGGCCCUUUUGAAACUUCAAGUUGGAACUGGAAAAUGCAAUAUUUUUCCCGAUUUGAUUGGCCACUAUAGCGCACCACAAUCGCGGUGGCUCACUGGAAAAGGACGAACGGGAAAUGGAUGCUCACCGCGACGCGCCACAAUCUUGGUGCCCCUUGGAUUGCCAUAUUGGCCCUUGGCGCGAUGUCGGAAUUGGGCGAAUUUGAUAUCGAUGGAAAACUUAUUCAAUUUUCCACAUAAUAAAAAGUUGAAAUCUUGAAAAAUACCGCAUGAAAUAAAUGGUAUUCAUCUUUGAAGCAAAUUCUUGACAUUCUAAGGAAAAAUUUAAGCUAAGAAAAAUACGGGGUAUUACAGUCACUAUACCAGAACUUCCUUGGCAUUGCUACAAUAAGGAAUUUAUUUCUCUUUGGAUGAUGAUUACAGGAAAAGAAAAGAAGUUGAAGCAACGAAUAAUCUCAAGAACAAAUCAGGGCAAGGAAUCAGCAAUCAGGUAACUAACCAAAAUAAUAACUCUCAACAAGUUAUUACUAAUUUUUCUGCUAGUGUUUCAGUUACCAAAGAAAACCAUCACCAAAAUCAGAAAAUGGAAGAAAAGAAAUAACAAGAGGAGUGGCAAACCCAAAAAAGAAAGAAAUUCAAAGGUUACAACCAAAAUGCUCAAAAGAGCAAUGUAGCAAACUCAACAAGUAUACAAAUCAGUAUCGCCAAGAGCAAAACAAGACAUUGAUCAGCAAAAACAACAAGAGCAGCAGACAAGUAUUGACUCAGUGCUCCCAACCCCAUGGUGAUAUUGCAAGUCCCAUCCCCUGUGUAUCCCCCCAAAUAAUGCAGAACAAGUAAACCAAGGAAACAAACAAUGACAUAGGAAAGGGAUCCAAAGGGGGGUUGUAGACCUCAUGCUUUGCAUGGGAAUAGGUUGGUUGACCAUAGGGUGGAAUUUAGAGCCCCUGCUACCACUGCUCAUUUCACUUUUUUUCCUCAAAAUCAUGACAAUAAUAUUACUCAACACAAUGCUUUAGACGAGGUCAAUGUUACAGAUUCAGAUGCUGAAAAUUCUUGUAGUGGUUCAGAUUUGGGUGGUAAUGAUCAGAAUGAUGAGAGUAACUCUGUUCAGAUUUUUGAAAAUGCUGAAGAUCAGUCCAUGUUGUUAUUGAUACUCAGAAUUCAGCUGGUUGUGUUCAGAAUUGUACAUAGAAGGUUGAUAAGUUGAAGGUUACUAAUGCUCAAGGUUUAGAACUAAAGGGUCAGAUGUUGGGUGAUUACUGUAAUACCCCGAGACUCUAACCAAUAGUGUAACCAUGAAUCAAGCUCAUGAGAAAUAAAUUAUAAUGUUUUGGGUUUUUUUCCGAUCAAGAAUGGUGUGUAUUAAGGCCUUAAAUAUGUCCUAACGAUUGGGUGAAUCAAAACAUUCCUUACCGAUUGAAUUCUUAGGAAGAAUAUUGGUAUAGUCAACUUCAAACGAGCAUAUUUCUCAUUAUACUUGGAAUUUUCAAGCUCAUGACCUAUCAAUAGAUAUAUAAUUGAAUUAUCUUUCUAACGAUACCAAUUUCGCUAAAAUAUGAUACCGGAGCAAAGAGUUAUACCCAUUUUACUCCAACAUGUCCAACAUGUCAAUCUGAAAAAGGGUGACGACGUUUCUGAUGGCCUGUCACGUUUCUGACGACAUUUUUGACGACGUCGUCAUGUUUCUGACGACAUUUCUGAUGACAUCGUUAGCGUUAGGCAGAAAAUCAUAAAAUUCGACCAUUUUGUGACGACAUUUCGUGACGGCCUAUCAUGGAUGUAACGGCCUGUCACGGAUGUCGUCAAAUAUUUUUUUCAGUAAUUUAGAGACGUUUUUGCAAGGGUAUUUUGGUCUUUCCCAUAUUUUGGAGGCCUCUAUAAAUAUGAGAAUCCUAUCCAAACCCUAAUUCCAUCAUUUUCUCUACCAAUUCUCUUGAGAUAAUAUAUCUAGGGUUAUAUCAAGAACAUAAAUCUUCCAAGAAUCAUCUAUAAAUCUUCAAAAUUUCUUCAAGAACCAAGUUCCUCAUAGUGUGGGCUUCAAGAAUUAUUUAUUUCAAGUGUGGAUAAAGUCUCAAGCACUAAAGUUCAUCCAAUUUCAAAGAUUAAGGUAUGUGGGGUUUUGAACAAAAACACUUCUUUCGUUCUUGUGCCCAAAGAUUUAAUUUCUAUUGAAUUUCAUGAAUUUUGCAAAGUGGGUUUACACCCAAAUUACUUUAUCAAGGAUUUAUGAGAUUUGAUAUAUACAAGAUUGACACAUAUGAAUGCUUCAUUGUCUUAUUUCUUAAAUUAAGAAUUUAUGUAAUGAGUUGUAUAUUGUUAUUAUGAAAUGAUAAUUUCUAAGUGAUUUAUGAUAAGUGUCAUGAUUUAUGUUUUUCCAUGAGAACUUUGUCUAUUCAAUAUAUAUUGAUAUUGAGCUUGAGAGUCAAGAACGAGUUCUAUGAUGUUUUCUGGAAGAUUUGAUACUUGAUAUGAUUUGAUAAGCAGGUGUACUUGAUGAUGAGAAAGAUUAUUUUGAGAUUUAGUCGAGUUAGGAAUCCACAAGUUGAUUAUGAUUUACAAGUGAGAUAUAUAUUUAUAUUUUGGUCUUCAUGAUAGACCCUUGAGUUGAUUAAGGUGGAUUUCCUAACGCGUUCUGAGCUUAAGUCUAGGAGUAAUAUUUAGCACCGAGCGGGAAGUAUGGAUUCAUCGCAUCCUACUUUCCUAGAAUUACGUGCCACCGUAGGAUUAAGAUUAAGGGCCAAAGGCCAAGACAGUUGUUUUGUGGAAAAUUUUUGACUUUUUGAAGAGUCGCCGCUUAAUUUUGAAAAAGGAAUUAAGAAACCUUUAGAAAGUACUUCAAACGAUUCAAAACAAGAAAAUCGUUUAAGUUAAGAGAUUCUGAAUAAGCGGUUCCUAUUAGCGUUUUAGGAAGGUGUUAGGCACCUAAAACGUCCGCUAACUUGCGAUUAUCCGGACUGUUUGAAAAUCGUCUUUGAUUAACCUUGAAAGAAGUUGAUUUUGAAAAGUGAGUGAUUUUGUCGAAAAGAUUUGUGUAAAAACAGUUUUAGACGACCUAAUAGGGAUUUUGACUAAGUCUACACAAAUUAAAUAAGCAAGUAAACACAUAAACUGGGAAAGAGAGGAGAAAGUAAACGAUUUAGGUCGUUGGGCCCAAACCAACAAAACUUGUCCUAGUCUAAUUGAGCCUUUGACCCAUUUCACCUGUCUGUCCUAAUCUAGUUUUCGAGCCUUUGACUCGAAUCUUGCUCCAUCUGUAUUAAAUACAACUCGAGCCUUUGCCUGAAUGAAUGAACUAAAAAAAUGAAUAAAUAAACAAAUAAAGGCAACAGUAAAUCAAUAAGUAAAUAAAUAGAGACUUUCUAGUCUCUUUUCCGCUUCAAAAAUGGGAUCUUAACCCAUUCUUCUUCUUUCGACAGAGAAAGUAAGCGAUUUAGGCCAUUGGGCCCAAACCAACAAAACCUGUCCUAGUCUAAUUGGGGCUUUGAUCCAUUUCACCUGUCCUAAUCUAGUUUUCCAGCCUUUGACUCGAAUCUUGCUCCACCUGUAUUAAAUACAACUUUGGCUUCUUGGCCCGAACAAAUGAACUAAGAAAUGAAGAAAUAAACAAAUAAAGGCAACAAUAAAUCAAUAAGUAAAUAAAUAGAGACUUUCUAGUCUGUUUUUCGCUUCAAAAAUGGGAUCUAAACCUAUUUUUCUUCUUUCGACUCCUUGCAUUCGCACACUAUGCAACCUUAGACUCACUUCCGGGCUUGACUCAAUGGAUGGGCCUGAUUGUCCCAUUAAGGAAUGCAAAGAGUCCGUUUGGACUCCAACGAAUUCACAUGCAAAUUAAGAAAAAUAAAGGACGCUAAUACAUGACUAAAAAAGGGAAAAAAAUAUAAAAACAACACAUAGGCAAUCAAAGGAAGGAAAUUGAGUUAGUUAACACAUGAUCGAUCAAAGAGAGGAAAAACUAAAAGGAAACUAAUGCGGAUUUUUUUGAAAAUAGCAACGUGGUAUGGAUCUUAAAUAAUCAAAAGCCGAUUAAAAAUAGUAAUACAUGUUCGUAUCAACUCAAUAAAGAAGCAUUAUACGCAAAUCAAUCUUACAUAUCAGCUAAUCCAAAUAUUUCUCAAAAUUCUUCCUAGUUAACUUGAAAUAAUUAUUUGGACAUGCGAAGAUAAAAUGAACAUUAUUUCAAUCUAACCAAAACAUCAUAGAGACUUAAUGUAUGUAAAAAACAACAUAUGUUGACCAGUGGGUUUAUAAGGAAAGAAUCAUUUAAUCACCAUACAAAGUGACUACCAGUUCACUGUUGGCAAAAUUCUUGCAACAUGGUAUGUUAUCAAGAAAAAAAAAGGACUUAGUAUAUUGAAUUAAUUCAAUAUUAAUUAAUAUACUAAGUAAAACAUGACGUGUUCAUACUAGACGGAAGCUUCAAGUUACACCGCACAUAGCAUGUCUCCAAAUGUGAAGUAACACAUUGUUUAGACUUACAUUAGUGAGAAGCCAAUUUGUACUAAAACUUGGGCACAGAUAUCGCACGUAUGAAUUUUGCGUAGACGAAAAGUAAUGACAAAAAUGUAUAGAUUUACUAAUGAAAUACUCAUCAAGCCACUUAGAUUUAAUCGAGGGGACUGAACAAAAACCAUGCAAGAUAAGCAAUAUCAUGAGUUGCAACUCAAAUUUUUAAGCGGUUAUUAUUCAAAUGGUCAGUCUACUGCCUAACGUCGAUUAGAAGAAACGAAGUGAGAUUUAAAAGAAAGGAGAAAUAACAUUCAGACUAAAACAUGACUAUAAAUUUUAAUGCCAAAAGAAAGAGAACUUAAAAGAUGAACUAAAAAUCAUCAAAUCAAGGUUGAUGGAAAUAUCAUCUCAAAACAGCAGUCGUAAUUCGAUCGCAUAACGUAUGGCUCUCAAGGCCUCUACAGCGAAACAAUUCUUCAACACCCAAGGUUAUAAAAUGCAAUUACGGACAAGACAACAUGAGGCUAAAAACUGUUAAGCGAGAAUCAAGCUAUGAUCUUUAACCAUGAACCAAAAAUUCAAAUCAUAAACAAUACACAAGAUGAGACAAUAGGUCAAAAAUUAAUCAGUAACACCAAGAGUAGAUGAACAAUUACAAAAUCGAGAUAAAGAUGACGGAAACCAUAUAUCAGACAAUCAGAAUAGGAAUUAAUUCUAACAUAACAAUACAACCAACACUGUUUUUUACUAAAAUAGCAACCUAUGGUCUUUGAGACCUCUACAGCAACAACCAGCAUACAAGAUUCUCGGCAUAAUACUUAUGACUAUAGAAUGAAGAGGUGAAGCAGAAUACAAUGGAAACUAAGUGGAAAUAGAAUGUUACCUAUUCAGGAGCAGCAAAACGAGACGACGAAUCGGUACAGAGAUCACGACUACCAGAAAAUUUCUUCACAGUUGACUCGAAGCUCUAAUUUAGCUGAUGAACUUUUAAAAUAAGAACCAAAUUUCUCCAAGAAUUUCUUUAUUUCUUUCUUCUUCCUUGGUUUUUUCUAAAUCUAAAAUUUUCAACUCAUUUUUUGAAAACCCCCAAAAUUUUCCCCAAUUUUUGAACCCUCAAAAAACCGUCUCGUGAAACGGUGACCCCAGGGGUCCUUAUAUAGAAGACAAAUUAGGGUAUUUUAGGAAUUUGGAAGAAAGAUAUUUUUGAAUUUUGAAAAAUCCAGAACCUUCCCCUCACAGCCCCUUUUGUUGCUCAGAACGUACCAUCCUCUUUGAUUUUCUCAGAAAAUGGCAAACGGUGGACCAAUUAAAUGGAGCCAAAUAAAUUUUUCCCCAAAAUCAAUAGAAAUUAUCCAAAUACGUACUAGAUUCGUACCAUUAUCCCGAAAUUCGCAGAAUUGAAACGUUGGGGGUGACACCUCAUCGAUCUUCUAGAAGAUUAGGUAUGAAAUCGCGUGUUUGUCACAUGACUCAUACGAUCGAAAGAAAAAAGGGAUGAAUUUAGAGGGAAAAAAGAAAGCUGGGGUCGGUUCUCGGGUUUGACGCGUAUUCAGGUCGAAACUGUUGAGUUUGUCAAUGAUUUGUCACUAUUUGUGAAGAGAAAUGCUGAAGGGUAAUCGGGUCGGCAUUGUUCGCAGUUGGGUCGCCGAUAUCGGAGUGGGUUUGAGAUUGGUUCUGAUUUUUGCGUUGAAGUUGACGGAUUUGGAGCUAUUUGUUGUUGGAUUGUGAAGUCGACGCGAUUUGGGGUUGCUAUGUUUGUUGGUUGUGUUGUCGCCUGUUUGUGUUGAAGAGGAAAAGAAAAAAUGUGCCGGGUAAGAUCAGCUAUUGGGCCGGGUCAAGAUCUGUUGGGCCUAGUGGGUGCAGACAAAUUUGGGCUUAGGUGAAAGUGUUGUUGCAUUGGGUUGCUGAUGGGGUUCAAAAAUUUAGUCUCUAAUUGGGGUUAUUUAAUAAUCCCAAUUAAAUCUAAUUGGAGUUAUUAAAUAACCCUAAUUAAAUUUAAUUAGAUUAAAGUAAUCCCAACUAGGAAAUGAUAAUUUUGGGAAUUGAGAUCGAAUUACAAUUAAGGCGACUCAUUUAAACCCUAACCAAAUUGAAUAUCCAUUGGUCCAUUGCAUCACAAUUUAGGCCAAUUUAAUUUCAAUUGAGGUCAUAAUUAAUUAGUUCGCUAAAUUGAAUCACAAUCCGACUCGAAUUAAGUAACAGAUUAAUUUUGAGUUUCUUGAUUUGAUGAAAAUCAAACAACUAUUCCUCCAAAUAAAAUAUUUUGAGAACAAAAUAUAUUUAAAAUCAAGACUUUAUCUAUUUGGAUUAAUUUUCAAUUUUAAUCAAUAAAAGUCUAAUUUUAAUAGAAAAUAUUCAUUUAAAUAACAAAUUUUACACACUCGUAUAUAAAAAUACAAAAAUGUAUAAUUGUUAAUUAAAUGAUAAAAUUAACUCAAAUAAAUGCUUAGACUCGCUUCCGGGCUUGACUCAAUGGAUGGGCCUGAUUGGCCCAUUAGGGAAUACAAAGAAUCCGUUUGGACUCCAACGAAUUCUCAUGCAAAGUAAGAAAAAUAAAGGACAUUAACACAUAUGGAUUAGGGAGGGCAAAAAUUAGGUGUCAACAACACUUAUCACUAAAGUUAAGGUUCUACUCCGAUGGCAAGGAUAGAACAGCUCUCCCCAACAUGGACAACACGUUGGACUCCAUGUAAGCUCACAUGGUGUAUGUCGGUUAUAAGAAACUCCCAAGUACAUAAUAGUCCAAGUUUCAUGAGUUACCGAGUCACUCUAAGUCAUGAGUCAAAGAGUUUGAGUUGAGUCCAACGGUUUGUGAGAUUUAUGAAGCAUGUGUUAUUAUUGAUGAUUUAUGGAAAAUAUGUUUCAGGUAACUCAAGCAAGGAGAGUCAUUAUUAACAAAACACUUCAAAGAAAAUAUGAGGGAAUCUUAGCAAUUUUUAUCAAGUGGGAUUUUGGGAGAGUUUUAAAUUCAGGAAAAACAAACCAGUAAGACAUGGGACGACACACAUAAAUUCACCAACUACAAGAUUUGCAAUUACGACAAGAAAGCAUCGCAUCUCAACAACAUCAGGAAGGGAAACAACAGAAAAUUAAAUACCACUGAGGUUGAUAGAAUUGCCAGAAGGCUAAAAAAAAGUUGUAUUUACUUACAACGAUGGCAUAAUGAUAUCAUAAAAUAACUCCCAGGAAACAAAACACAACUCGCCCAACAAUCAUUAAAAAAGAGAAAAGGAGGGAGUUACAACUAAUAGGAAGUGACACGACUAUUUUGAAUAAAACCAUUUAACAAUUUUGAACAAGUCCUUCCCUCCUCUUUGUCAAAUAGCGUAAAAGAAAAAGAUAAAAUAUUGGAGAUCCUUAGUAUUGGUUUUAUGCGUACUUACAGGCCUCUUUCGAUAUCCUGAAUCAAGGAGACCAUGCGAGUUGCAGCUAAAUCAUACAAACAAACCAUAAGACAGAAGACUCAAAGAUAACACGAAUUCUGAAAGUUCUCAGUCUUAAUCCCCAAAAAAGAAAAACUUCUGAAGGUCACGACAGUGAUAAGACAACCUCCAAAAUUUCUACUAUUCGAAACAAGCAGCUUAAAACCCAAAUAUGAGCAUCCAGGCACAGGAAACCUGGUUCUUCGAUCCUUAACAGUUUCCAAAGAUGAAGCCAAUCACUAGUGUUCUUGUGAAACGUGGUCUUGCAAAACUCAUAAGGGUUUUAGACCGUGAACCAAUACCUACUCAGAAGGUGAUACAAAUCGGGCUCAGAAGAAAAAAAAAGCUAGAAACUUUAUUGAGUUUUGAUAUCAAAACGUAUCAAAAGAGAGCAAAUUUGUUCACAUGUUUGACAACCAUUACACUUCGAAAGCUUCAACAUGAAAGAGAACCAACUAUAGACUAAAAACACAAAGCGAUAGGGCUUAACAUUUCUAUCCUCUUUUCGACGGUCUCAACCGAAUGACCGUCGAGAGAUAGUCCUACUAGAAAUGCAGUGAUGACGACGAACAAGAUAACAUCGAAGAACAACUACGAUUAAGACCCCAUCAAGCUGGCAACCAAUAGACAAAAAUCAAAACAUAUACCUUAAUCAUGAAAACCGUGACCCAAACUACAACAGCAACCAUGAAACAAUGAUCUGAAUUACCAAUAAUACACAAGAUGAGGACCUAAAUAGGGAAUUACUCGAUACCAACUACAAAAUCGAAACAGCGACAACUGAAAACAAACAUUAGCAGAUUAUAAUACGAAAUAACCCUAUCUUAACAACACAAGUGAACAUCUUUCUUCACUAAAGAAAAACCUAUGGCCUUUAAGGCCUCUACAGCAAGCAAAUCAGCACACCAUAUCAUUAAAGGAAACCUACAACUUCAGAAAAUUGAGAUGAAGCAGAAAUUGUCGAAAGCUUAAACGAGAUGGGAUGUUACUUUUUAGGGAGUAGCAAACGGAAUAACGAGCUAACGUCGAGAUGUGCCACCAUCGAAAACCCGCGUUAUCAACUCAGAACCUUUGAUCAAUCGACUAAAUGGCAUAGAGAAGAACAAAAGAGAAAAAUUUCACUAAAAGAAGUUGUCUUACUCUCAGAAUUUUUCUUACUUCUAUCUUUUCCUCGCCUAGCUUUCUCAGAGAAUUUUUGAACACUCAAAGUUUCGACCCCUAAAAUAAUGACCCAAAGGAUCCUUAUAUAGAAGAUAGAAUUGAGGUAUUUUAGGAAUUCGAAAAAAGGAAUUUUGAAUUUUGAAAUCAAGAUAACGUUUUCCCCCAACAACUCAUGUGGAUUUUGGAAAUUUUAUCGGAUAAAUCCGAAAGGUGGACCAAUCAGAAUUUGGGGAAAAUAUAAUAUUACCUCAAACCAGUGGAAAUUAGCCGCAUACGUACGAAAUCAUACCAAUAAUCCCUAAAUUCGCGGAGUUGGACGUUGGAAUGAGCCAACUCAUUAUAUUCUGGAAGAUUUUCGAAUCUUUCCCGUACGAGUCCGCGUUGGAAAGCACGUGUUGAAGAGGGAGAUGGUCGGGUCGAUGCGGAUGAUGUCGGGUCGUUGAUGGGUCGGUUUGAAUGGCGAGUUGGAGCUAGGUUGAGAGUUACUGAUGUUAAAGUUGUGUGUUGAUGUUCUUUUGUCGUUGAUGAAGAAAGG